RNAcentral lists this ribosomal RNA (432 nucleotides) under uncultured bacterium. RNAcentral describes it as "partial 16S ribosomal RNA". It matches the Rfam family "Bacterial small subunit ribosomal RNA", at positions 338 to 795 of the family's 1533-position model. The record is from RNAcentral.
CCUACGGGGGGCAGCAGUCGAGAAUUUUUCACAAUGGGGGAAACCCUGAUGGAGCGACGCCGCGUGGGGGAUGAAGGGCUUCGGCUCGUAAACCCCUGUCAUUCGCGAACUAGUAGCGGAAGAGGAAGGGACGGCUAACUCUGUGCCAGCAGCCGCGGUAAUACAGAGGUCCCAAGCGUUGUUCGGAUUUACUGGGCGUAAAGGGUGCGUAGGCGGCGGGGAAAGUUUAAGGUGAAAUCUCCAGGCUCAACUUGGAAAAUGCCUCGAAUACUUCCUUGCUUGAGGGUCGCAGAGGAGAUUGGAAUUCUCGGUGUAGCAGUGAAAUGCGUAGAUAUCGAGAGGAACAUCAGUGGCGAAAGCGAAUCUCUGGGCGACCCUGACGCUGAGGCACGAAAGCCAGGGGAGCAAACGGGAUUAGAUACCCUUGUAGUC